AGUCGMGCGCNUGAAGCCGUCUGAACCCUUCGGGGGGACGACGGUGGAAUGAGCGGCGGACGGGUGAGUAACACGUAAAGAACCUGCCCAUAGGUCUGGGAUAACCACGAGAAAUCGGGGCUAAUACCGGAUGUGUCAUCGGACCGCAUGGUCCGCUGAUGAAAGGCGCUCCGGCGUCGCCCAUGGAUGGCUUUGCGGUGCAUUAGCUAGUUGGUGGGGUAACGGCCCACCAAGGCGACGAUGCAUAGCCGACCUGAGAGGGUGAUCGGCCACACUGGGACUGAGACACGGCCCAGACUCCUACGGGAGGCAGCAGUAGGGAAUCUUCCACAAUGGACGAAAGUCUGAUGGAGCAACGCCGCGUGAACGAUGAAGGCUUUCGGGUCGUA
RNAcentral lists this ribosomal RNA (389 nucleotides) under Exiguobacterium sp. '10.5 MW-4'. RNAcentral describes it as "bacterial SSU rRNA". It matches the Rfam family "Bacterial small subunit ribosomal RNA", at positions 60 to 427 of the family's 1533-position model. The record is from RNAcentral. Lineage: Bacteria; Bacillati; Bacillota; Bacilli; Caryophanales.